This 240-nucleotide unclassified non-coding RNA is filed under the name soil metagenome. RNAcentral's name for it is "partial contains 5.8S ribosomal RNA, internal transcribed spacer 2, and large subunit ribosomal RNA". The record is from RNAcentral.
AAGACUAUAGACCUGCGGAGACCUGCGGAAGGAUCAUUAUCGUAUUGUAACAAUUGGGGGGGCCACCGUGGGCUGUCGCUGACCCUUUGAAAGGGGGGUCGUGCACGCCCCCAUAGUGUCAUCCUCAUACAAUCCAACUCACCUCUGUGCAUCACCGCGUGGGUUCCUUUCUGGGUCGAGUCAGACUGGCUCAGAAAAAAGGGGCUUGCGUUUUCCAUACAAAUACCCUUAUAAAUCCAG